Non-coding RNA from Cinara cedri, 298 nucleotides. The record is from the annotation of a GenBank genome assembly. Lineage: Eukaryota; Metazoa; Arthropoda; Insecta; Hemiptera; Aphididae.
UACAUGUUGUAAUGGACGAGAAUCAGAAAGUAAAGAGAUCUUUAGAAAAUAAAAACCUUUAGGAUGGGAAGAUCUAACUAUGGUGAGGAAAGAAGUGAAGGAUGUGGAGGAUAAGAUGUGUGACGAUAUGGACCCAGUAACCCGUGAAAAAUAGUAUUAUGUACAAAUGUACAAUUAAUGCAAACCAAGAAGCGGGCCUAAACCCCUCGCUCUCCUUUGAAAUACGCCACUGAACAUAAUAUCUUAUACAGUAUGACGGAAUUAUUAUUAAAAUAUUAUUAAUUUGUAAAUUAUAAAC